Molecule: long non-coding RNA, 1031 nt
Organism: Lolium rigidum
Lineage: Eukaryota; Viridiplantae; Streptophyta; Magnoliopsida; Poales; Poaceae
Exons: 3
Source: RefSeq, a predicted model, not a curated record
GCUACAUACAUUGUCAAUUAAUUCGGUAGCACACUCCCAGUUCACCAUACUAGAGUACGUUCAAUGCUGGCCAGGCUGGUGAUAGAAUUUUUAAGCUGUUUCCACCCUUCUAUGUUGAAAGCCUACUGCUUCCAAAUUAUAUAUUCUUUUCUUUCAUUGUACUAAGCCAAGGUGGAGACUGGGAAACGAAGAACUUACACAAAUGAGGAAAUGGGCAGAACAAAGCCCUGUAUGUUGUACCUACGACUUCCAUUUCUUGUCGUAUUUGAUCGAGUACCAAUGUAUAAGGUGCAAAGUGCACCAGUUUUAGGCCCUUUUAGGUAUUGUUGGAGUGUUGAAAAAAGUUUUUUUUUCUUAAUGUCUAGAUUUACUUUCUAAUUCUAUAAAAAAAAUAUUGUAGAUUCUUGAGUGAGGACACUCAGUAGAACAGUGGCCUUGUACAGUUUUUUUGGAAGUUCCUGCCCCAUUUAGUUGAAUUAAUUAUGCAGUAUUCCAAUUCCACAUAUGUGCUCGCUGUCACAUUUUUUCUGGCCGUAUAAUUUUCAAAUGCUGAACAUUUUGACCCCACUUCUUUUUUGCAGAAUGCUUUGAUUGAUCCUGACCGAUUCUGUACAGCAUCAAUAACAUAAUACUGUUGCAGAUGGGCACAUCUGCUAGAAUUGAGGAUUAUCACCAUAAAGUUAACCAUUUUUGUGAAAAGAAAUGUGGACAUCCAUCGCUGCUCUAUGUUUCUGUAGAUUCUACACGAUUUGCUGCAUACAUGUAUUGAAUCUUGGUAAUGGCAUUAAGUUGAGAAGUCCUAGGGAAAACAUUGCCCGUUUCUUUGAGCUUGCGGAAGGGAUCAUAUACUGAAAGACAUUGUUGUAUAAUUUGUUCUUAUUUCUCAGUCGACAGAAGAUGUAGAUUCCAUUCCGCUACUUGAGAAUAGAUGCAGGAAGCCACAUCCGUAGCAUAGGUUAUCUGAUGAACACAUCUUGGUCUGACUGAAUUUGUGUUCUGCAUUCUGAUUUUCAUUUCGAUGUAAUCUUAUA